RNAcentral lists this ribosomal RNA (465 nucleotides) under uncultured bacterium. Its description in RNAcentral is "partial 16S ribosomal RNA". It matches the Rfam family "Bacterial small subunit ribosomal RNA", at positions 338 to 795 of the family's 1533-position model. The record is from RNAcentral.
CCUACGGGAGGCUGCAGUAGGGAAUCUUCCACAAUGGGCGAAAGCCUGAUGGAGCAACGCCGCGUGGGUGAAGAAGGUCUUCGGAUCGUAAAACCCUGUUGUUAGAGAAGAAAGUGCGUGAGAGUAACUGUUCACGUUUCGACGGUAUCUAACAGGAAAGCCACGGCUAACUACGUGCCACGAGCGGCGGUAAUACGUGGGUGGCAAGCGUUAUCCGGAUUUAUUGGGCGUAAAGUGAACGCACGCGGUCUUUUAAGUGUGAUGUGAAAGCCUUCGGCUUAACCGGAAUAGUGCAUUGGAAACUGGGAGACUUGAGUGCAGAAGAGGAGAGUGGAACUACAUGUGUAGCGGUGAAAUGCGUAGAUAUAUGGAAGAACACCAGUGGCGAAAGCGGCUCUCUGGUCUGUAACUGACGCUGAGGUUCGAAAGCGUGGGUAGCAAACAGGAUUAGAUACCCUUGUAGUC